This 603-nucleotide long non-coding RNA is filed under the name Astyanax mexicanus (Mexican tetra). RNAcentral's name for it is "lncRNA (ENSAMXG00005023158.1)". The record is from RNAcentral. Lineage: Eukaryota; Metazoa; Chordata; Actinopteri; Characiformes; Acestrorhamphidae.
AUUUUUUUUAUAAUGAAGUGUUCCACGUGCGUUAAAAAGUGCCCUUUUUCCCCCCUGAGCUCUUGCCCCACAAAAUGUCUGUGCAAGCCACUGGCGCUCGGAGCUGAAGCUAGCGUUAUGGGAUGUAAACAGUGGCUUUUUAAUGAACUUCUUGUGCAGUUUUAAGGUUCUAAAUGCUUUGUUUUAAAUUUCAGGGCUCUCUGGAUAAAGAUGUAAAAAGCGAUUUAUCUGCAGGGGCAAAAUAUGCCCGUCUCACUCAUUCUAAAAGCCUGUUUGGGGAAAGUGCUCAAAAUACUGGAUCUCAGAAAGCUGCGGGAGAACAGAGGAUUAGUAGGUCUGUCACAGAAGGUAAAACCAUGCUGGAACCAGGCUGGACUUUGGCCCUCAUAGCCCACUCAUUGCUUAGAAGCUCACAAAGACUCUUACUCUACCAGCCAGAGGGAAUGGGGACAUAAGUCGAUUAUUACUGCUUGCCCGAGUCGACGUGGGGCCCCUGAACCUGGUGAAUUGACAGGCUUCAGCUCUUCAGAGGUGGGUUGGUUUGCGAAGGCCUGCUCAUUACUCAAUAGCCUCUCAAUAAAGCCCACAACCACUUCUGCUCCA